Molecule: ribosomal RNA, 254 nt
Filed under: uncultured bacterium
Lineage: Bacteria
Description: partial 16S ribosomal RNA
Rfam family: Bacterial small subunit ribosomal RNA
Source: RNAcentral
UACGUAGGUGGCAAGCGUUGUCCGGAUUUACUGGGCGUAAAGAGCGCGCAGGCGGUCGAUUUAGUCGCGUGUGAAAGCCCCCGGCUCAACUGGGGAGGGUCACGCGAUACUGAUCGACUCGAAGGCAGGAGAGGGUAGUGGAAUUCCCGGUGUAGUGGUGAAAUGCGUAGAUGUCGGGAGGAACACCAGUGGCGAAGGCGACUACCUGGCCUGUUUCUUGACGCUGAGGCGCGAAAGCUAGGGGAGCAAACGGG